ACCGGCGCACGGGUGCGUAACGCGUAUGCAAUCUACCUUUUACAGAGGGAUAGCCCAGAGAAAUUUGGAUUAAUACCUCAUAGUAUAGCAGUUUCGCAUGAAACCACUAUUAAAGUCACAACGGUAAAAGAUGAGCAUGCGUCCCAUUAGCUAGUUGGUAAGGUAACGGCUUACCAAGGCUACGAUGGGUAGGGGUCCUGAGAGGGAGAUCCCCCACACUGGUACUGAGACACGGACCAGACUCCUACGGGAGGCAGCAGUGAGGAAUAUUGGACAAUGGGCGCAAGCCUGAUCCAGCCAUGCCGCGUGCAGGAUGACGGUCCUAUGGAUUGUAAACUGCUUUUAUACGAGAAGAAACACUACUUCGUGAAGUAGCUUGACGGUAUCGUAAGAAUAAGGAUCGGCUAACUCCGUGCCAGCAGCCGCGGUAAUACGGAGGAUCCAAGCGUUAUCCGGAAUCAUUGGGUUUAAAGGGUCCGUAGGCGGUUUAAUAAGUCAGUGGUGAAAGCCCAUCGCUCAACGGUGGAACGGCCAUUGAUACUGUUAGACUUGAAUUAUUAGGAAGUAACUAGAAUAUGUAGUGUAGCGGUGAAAUGCUUAGAGAUUACAUGGAAUACCAAUUGCGAAGGCAGGUUACUACUAAUUGAUUGACGCUGAUGGACGAAAGCGUGGGUAGCGAACAGGAUUAGAUACCCUGGUAGUCCACGCCGUAACGAUGGAUACUAGCUGUUGGAAGCAAUUUCAGUGGCUAAGCGAAAGUGAUAAGUAUCCCACCUGGGGAGUACGU
RNAcentral lists this ribosomal RNA (787 nucleotides) under Flavobacterium frigidimaris. RNAcentral's name for it is "bacterial SSU rRNA". It matches the Rfam family "Bacterial small subunit ribosomal RNA", at positions 94 to 885 of the family's 1533-position model. The record is from RNAcentral. Lineage: Bacteria; Pseudomonadati; Bacteroidota; Flavobacteriia; Flavobacteriales; Flavobacteriaceae.